RNAcentral lists this ribosomal RNA (369 nucleotides) under uncultured bacterium. RNAcentral describes it as "bacterial SSU rRNA". It matches the Rfam family "Bacterial small subunit ribosomal RNA", at positions 527 to 898 of the family's 1533-position model. The record is from RNAcentral.
GUAGGUGGCAAGCGUUGUCCGGAUUUAUUGGGUUUAAAGGGUGCGUAGGCGGCUUUGUAAGUCAGUGGUGAAAUAUGGCAGCUUAACUGUCAAGGUGCCAUUGAUACUGCGGAGCUUGAGUACAGAUGAGGUAGGCGGAAUUGACGGUGUAGCGGUGAAAUGCUUAGAUAUCGUCAAGAACACCUAUAGCGAAGGCAGCUUACUAAGCUGUAACUGACGCUGAGGCACGAAAGUGUGGGGAUCAAACAGGAUUAGAUACCCUGGUAGUCCACACUGUAAACGUUGAUUACUCGCUGUGUGCGAUAUACAGUACGCGGCCAAGCGAAAGCGCUAAGUAAUCCACCUGGGGAGUACGCCGGCAACGGUGAA